Molecule: unclassified non-coding RNA, 317 nt
Filed under: uncultured fungus
Lineage: Eukaryota; Fungi
Description: sequence contains 5.8S rRNA gene
Rfam family: 5.8S ribosomal RNA (bases 1-53)
Source: RNAcentral
GAACGCAUCUUGCGCCCCGUGGCAUUCCGCGGGGCAUGUCUGUUUGAGUGUCGUUUGACCUCUCAACCGCUUUGGUAUUCGAUUACAAAAGUCGGCUUGGAACUUGGGUGCCUCUGGCGAAACGCAAAGGGCUUCCGCCCUGUCGCCCACCCCAAAGUCAGUUGGGCCAACCGCGCGGAUGAGCGGACGGUUUGACCACAGUGUUGUAAGGUUCGCCUCACUGUCGGGACGUCCAUUUCCGUUAGCACGAAGGCAUUUGAAACACGAUACUAUUGAUUUUGACCUCAAAUCAGACAGGAUUACCCGCUGAACUUAAG